GGGGAUGUUUUUGGGAUUCGACAGGCGUAGAUUCGCAUUGACUGCGAUUCGUAGGUUACGUCUACGUAAAAACGUUACAGUUUAAAUAUAACUGCAAAUAACAAAAAUUCUUACGCAUUAGCUGCUUAAUUUAGCGCAUGCGUUGCUCUUUGUCGGUUUACUCGUGCUCGACACUGAGUAUCAACUUUAGCGAGUUACGUUUAACUACCUCACCUGAAUAGUUGAAAAGAGUAUUAACAGGUUAGCUAGCUCAUCCUAGCCCUGUUAUAUGGCGUUUUGAGCUAGUGAAGUUCAAGUAAUAUAACUAUGAUCGUAGAGGUCAGUGACGGAAUGCGUUUGGACAGGGGUUCAACUCCCCUCAUCUCCAUUU
This 370-nucleotide transfer-messenger RNA is filed under the name Lactobacillus helveticus. RNAcentral's name for it is "Standard tmRNA". It matches the Rfam family "transfer-messenger RNA". From Rfam's summary of the family: Bacterial tmRNA, also known as 10Sa RNA or SsrA, is named for its dual tRNA and mRNA-like properties. Its role is to liberate the mRNA from a stalled ribosome. To accomplish this part of the tmRNA is used as a reading frame that ends in a translation stop signal. Lineage: Bacteria; Bacillati; Bacillota; Bacilli; Lactobacillales; Lactobacillaceae. The record is from RNAcentral.